UACGAAGGGGGCUAGCGUUGUUCGGAAUUACUGGGCGUAAGGCGCGCGCAGGCGGCUAUCCAAGUCAGUGGUGAAAGCCCGGAGCUCAACUCCGGAACUGCCAUUGAAACUGUUUAGCUUGAGUAUGAGAGAGGUGAGUGGAAUUCCCAGUGUAGAGGUGAAAUUCGUAGAUAUUGGGAAGAACACCGGUGGCGAAGGCGGCUCACUGGCUCAUUACUGACGCUCAGGCGCGACAGCGUGGGGAUCAAACAGG
This 253-nucleotide ribosomal RNA is filed under the name uncultured bacterium. RNAcentral describes it as "partial 16S ribosomal RNA". It matches the Rfam family "Bacterial small subunit ribosomal RNA", at positions 524 to 776 of the family's 1533-position model. The record is from RNAcentral.